Dipodomys spectabilis (banner-tailed kangaroo rat) is the source of this 106-nucleotide small nuclear RNA. NCBI's taxonomy places the organism in Eukaryota, Metazoa, Chordata, Mammalia, Rodentia, Heteromyidae. The record is from RefSeq and is a predicted model, not a curated record.
AUGCUCCCUUUGGCAACAUGUAUACUAAAAUUGGAAUGAUAUGGAGAAGAUUAUAUGGCCCCUGUGCAAGGGUAACAUGCAAAUUCAUGAACUGUUCCAUUGUUUU